CCUGUACCCAUGUAUAAUACGCACCCAAUUUUUAUGAAUUUUUUUUAUGAAUUUCUUUUUUUUUUUUUUAAGUCCCAAUGAUUGUCACACACGCAGGGAGGCAAUGGGUCCCAUUUUUAUAGUCUUUGGUAUGGUCUUAACUAGGCUGGAUGUAAUUUUUUUUGUUGGCGUUGAUUUCUCCGACUGCCCAUAAACGCACCACCGCGCUCCGUGCGCGCACGGGAAAGAGGCGUGCGGACGUGAAAAAGGCGGCUCUGUAUGGGAGAGACGUUGAAGAGGAAUAAAAACACCCUUGGAAACCAAAACUUGGUGAUUUCAAGUUUCAUUUCGAGGGACAUUUGUCACGUCUCGUCCCCAGUUUUGCUAUGUGUCUAGGUUGCCAUAGUUUCUGUUCGCGUCGCCCCUCUCUUCCUGUGUCACCUCAAUCGAUGUAACGUGUUUUGUAUUUAAGUCCUGUCUGCCCCUCGCUCACCGUCGGAUCAUUGCAUGUGUUACUGUCAUGAUGUCUGUUUGGUUUCUGUUCCUGUCUUUGGUAAUGUCACCCUGUCUUUUUGUUCCACGACUUUGUCGGUCAGUCCUGUUGUUGGUUUUGUUUUCUAAAAAAAAAAAAAAAAUUUCUAAAAAAAAUUUACAUUUUUUUUGUACCCAUGUAUAAUGCGCACCCCAGAUUUUAGGACAAUAAAUUUGUUAAAUUCUGCGCACUAUACACGGAAAAAAACGGUACUCAAAGUUCAAAGUUCAAAGUCAGCUUUAUUGUCAAUUCCUUCAUAUGUCAAGACACACAAAGAAACCGAAAUUCCGUUUCCUCCAUUACUCAUUAUUAUUGUGUGUUGUCAAAGUAAAUGUUUGCUUUAUUGUCAAUUUCUUCACAUGUCAAGACACACAAAGAGAUUGAAAUUACGUUCCCGCUAUCCCACGGUGACAAGACAAAGAAGAAGGGGGGAGAGAGUUCAGGAUCCUAACAGCCUGGAGUAUGAAGCUGUUGGAAAGCAGCAUUCAACGUGCUUCAAGUUAUCUGAUCACAGUCCAGGAUGAAUCAACCAACCAUGGAGAUGUCAGUUGGUUGAGGAAACAGGACAGACUCUGCAAUUCCAGUGCUGGGGUCACGGGCCGACGAUUAAAGGCUAAAUCACACCAUUUUUAGCUAAUCAGCGUUGCUACAGCCCCAAUUUUAGUGUAGCAACGCCUCUGUAACCAGGGCAACCAAAACAUUAAAAAGAGGGGCACGUGGAGUAAGGACUCAGAAUUGAUGGAGAUUGUAACUGAGUUUCCUUUCUCUAUCGUUGUCCUCGCAAGUAAACCUA
This is a long non-coding RNA of Syngnathus typhle (broad-nosed pipefish), 1304 nucleotides long. RefSeq lists it as uncharacterized. Lineage: Eukaryota; Metazoa; Chordata; Actinopteri; Syngnathiformes; Syngnathidae. The record is from RefSeq and is a predicted model, not a curated record. The transcript is spliced from 2 exons.